AGUGAACGCUGGCGGUAGGCCUAACACAUGCAAGUCGAACGGCAGCACAGUAAGAGCUUGCUCUUACGGGUGGCGAGUGGCGGACGGGUGAGGGAUACAUCGGAAUCUAAUUUUUCGGGUGGGAUAACGUAGGGAAACUUACGCUAAUACCGCAUACCACCUACUAGUUAAUGCAGGGGAUCUUCAGACCUAGCUCGAAUUAAUUAGCCGAUGUCGGAUUAGCUAGUUGGCGGGGUACAGGCCCACCAAGGCGACGAUCCGUAGCUGGUCUGAGAGGAUGAUCAGCCACACUGGAACUGAGACACGGUCCAGACUCCUACGGGAGGCAGCAGUGGGGAAUAUUGGACAAUGGGCGCAAGCCUGAUCCAGCCAGCCCGCGUGGGUGAAGAAGGCCUUCGGGUUGUAAAGCCCUUUUGUUGGGAAAGAAAAGCAGCAGGUUAAUACCCCGCUGUUCUGACGGUACCCAAAGAAUAAGCACCGGCUAACCUCGUG
RNAcentral lists this ribosomal RNA (492 nucleotides) under uncultured bacterium. Its description in RNAcentral is "partial 16S ribosomal RNA". It matches the Rfam family "Bacterial small subunit ribosomal RNA", at positions 29 to 507 of the family's 1533-position model. The record is from RNAcentral.